This 507-nucleotide ribosomal RNA is filed under the name uncultured bacterium. RNAcentral describes it as "bacterial SSU rRNA". It matches the Rfam family "Bacterial small subunit ribosomal RNA", at positions 791 to 1304 of the family's 1533-position model. The record is from RNAcentral.
UAGUCCACGCCGUAAACGAUGGAUACUAGAUGUUCGGGUUUCGGCCUGAGUGUCUAAGCGAAAGCGAUAAGUAUCCCACCUGGGGAGUACGUUCGCAAGGGUGAAACUCAAAGGAAUUGACGGGGGCCCGCACAAGCGGUGGAGCAUGUGGUUUAAUUCGAUGAUACGCGAGGAACCUUACCUGGGCUAUAAUGCCUCUGCACAUUUCAGAGAUGGAAUUUCCCUUCGGACAUAUUACAAGGUGCUGCAUGGUUGUCGUCAGCUCGUGCCGUGAGGUGUCAGGUUAAGUCCUAUGACGAGCGCAACCCCUGUUGUUAGUUGCCAGCGAGUAAUGUCGGGAACUCUAGCAAGACUGCCGGUGCAAACCGUGAGGAAGGUGGGGAUGACGUCAAAUCAUCACGGCCCUUACGUCCUGGGCUACACACGUGCUACAAUGGCCGGUACAGAGAGCAGCCACGUCGCAAGGCGGAGCGAAUCUAUAAAGCCGGUCACAGUUCGGAUCGGGGU